AACGAACGCUGGCGGCGUGCCUAACACAUGCAAGUCGAACGCGAAAGGGACUCGGUUCUGAGUAAAGUGGCGCACGGGUGAGUAACGCGUAGAUAACCUGUCUUCAUGUCUGGAAUAAUACGCCGAAAGGGGUACUAAUACCGGAUAUUCUUGCUUUUCAUAAGUUAUGCAAGCAAAGGUGGCCUCUGCAUAUGCUACUGCAUGAAGAGGGGUCUGCGUACCAUUAGCUAGUAGGUGGGGUAAUGGCCUGCCUAGGCGACGAUGGUUAGCGGGUCUGAGAGGAUGAUCCGCCACACUGGCACUGGAACACGGGCCAGACUCCUACGGGAGGCAGCAGUGAGGAAUAUUGCGCAAUGGGGGAAACCCUGACGCAGCGACGCCGCGUGAGUGAGGAAGGCCUUCGGGUCGUAAAGCUCUGUCAAGAGGAAAGAAGUGUACAAUGGCUAAUACCUGUUGUAUUUGACGGUACCUCUAAAGGAAGCACCGGCUAACUCCGUGCCAGCCGCCGC
This 509-nucleotide ribosomal RNA is filed under the name uncultured bacterium. Its description in RNAcentral is "bacterial SSU rRNA". It matches the Rfam family "Bacterial small subunit ribosomal RNA", at positions 29 to 518 of the family's 1533-position model. The record is from RNAcentral.